UACGUAGGUGGCAAGCGUUGUCCGGAAUUAUUGGGCGUAAAGCGCGCGCAGGCGGUCCUUUAAGUCUGAUGUGAAAGCCCACGGCUCAACCGUGGGGGGUCAUUGGAAACUGGGGGACUUGAGUACAGAAGAGGAAAGCGGAAUUCCACGUGUAGCGGUGAAAUGCGUAGAGAUGUGGAGGAACACCCGUGGCGAAGGCGGCUCUCUGGGACGGUACUGACGCUGAGACGCGAAAGCGUGGGGAGCGAACAGG
RNAcentral lists this ribosomal RNA (253 nucleotides) under uncultured bacterium. RNAcentral describes it as "partial 16S ribosomal RNA". It matches the Rfam family "Bacterial small subunit ribosomal RNA", at positions 524 to 776 of the family's 1533-position model. The record is from RNAcentral.